This is a long non-coding RNA of Lepidothrix coronata (blue-crowned manakin), 426 nucleotides long. RefSeq lists it as uncharacterized. Lineage: Eukaryota; Metazoa; Chordata; Aves; Passeriformes; Pipridae. The transcript has 3 exons. The record is from RefSeq and is a predicted model, not a curated record.
AAGCUUUCAGUGCCUCUCAUGGCUUUCAAGAGCCUUGUGCCUGUCUUCUCCUCUAGCACAUUAUCUCAUGUUGCAUAUUACACCCAAGCAUGAGACAAGCUGCAAGUUACAAUGUGCAGUGUGUUGCAAUAUGUGAUUUGUGUCCCUUCAGAACACACAAGCAGCAAGAUCGUCAAAACCAGCCUUCCCUAUUGGCUGUUUGAUUUUUUGCCACAACAAGGACACCAACAACACUGAACCUAUGCUUGCAGACACACUUCUACCCAUCUAAAGAAGAGACUUUCCAACAGUGCACUGAACUCUUGAUGACUGAUGUAGAAUUACAAGACAGCAGAAUACAUGGUAGCAUGACCUAAAAAAGGAUUUGCAAACACACUUGGAGAGGAGAGAGAUCUUGUGUCUAUUGGAUUUUUGUUUAUUUUCUGC